RNAcentral lists this unclassified non-coding RNA (614 nucleotides) under Hevea brasiliensis (rubber tree). The record is from RNAcentral. Lineage: Eukaryota; Viridiplantae; Streptophyta; Magnoliopsida; Malpighiales; Euphorbiaceae.
CAGAAUUCAACUCUUGUAAUCAUAGCAAAACUCUCGCUCUUCUCUUCCUCUCUCUCUCUUCAUUCCAUGUCUGAAACUAUAUCAGCAGCAGAUCCCAUACACAAGCCAUUACUCACCUCAGCAACAAUGGGUUUGGAAGAAUUUCAAGACCCACCAAAGAAAACUUACUGGAGAUGGAGCAAGCAAGAUUUCUUCCCGGAACCCUCUUUCGAAAACCUCGUCACCUACAGAAAUGCUCUAUCUCACACCUUUCCUCGCCUCAAGGAUCGUCUCCUCUCUCGCUCUACCGACACCAAUGAACUCGUCACUCUCCAGAAAGAGAGCGAAAACCCCAUGCGCAAAUGCCUCAAUUGGUGGGACCUCAUGUGGCUUAGCUUCGGUUCGGUUGUUGGGUCUGGCAUCUUCGUUAUCACCGGCCAAGAAGCUCGUGAUGAUGCUGGUCCUGCUGUAGUUCUUUCUUAUGCUGUCUCUGGUAUCUCUGCAUUGCUUUCGGUCUUCUGUUACGCUGAGUUUGCUGUUGAGAUUCCUGUCGCAGGUGGGUCUUUCUCCUAUCUUCGGAUUGAAUUGGGUGACUUGAUUGCUUUUCUUGCUGCUGGGAAUAUUCUUUUGGAGGC